Molecule: long non-coding RNA, 4743 nt
Filed under: Homo sapiens (human)
Lineage: Eukaryota; Metazoa; Chordata; Mammalia; Primates; Hominidae
Description: HSALNT0113177
Source: RNAcentral
GUUUUGUGUGAGCAACAUGGCUAUUUAUUUCACCUGGGUGCAGGUGGGCUGAGUCCAAAAAGAGAGUCAGCAAAGGGUGGUGGAUUAUCAUUAGUUCUUAUAGGUUUUGGGAUAGGCGGUGAAGUUAAGAGCAAUGCUUUGCAGGCAGGGGUGGAUCUCACAAAGUACAUUCUCAAGGGUGGGGAGAAUUACAAAGAACCUUCUUAAGGGUGGGGGAGAUUACAAAGUACAUUGAUCAGUUAGGGUGGGGCAGAAACAAAUCACAAUGGUGAAAUGUCAUCAGUUAACGCUAUUUUUACUUCUUUUGUGGAUCUUCAGUUACUUCAGGACAUCUGGAUGUAUACGUGCAAGUCACAGGGGAUGCGAUGGCUUGGCUUGGGCUCAGAGGCCUGACAUUCCUGCCUUCUUAUAUUAAUAAGAAAAAUAAAACAAAAUAGUGUUGAAGUCUUGGGGCGGCGAAAAUUUUGGGGGGGUUGUAUGGUGAGAGAAUGGGCGAUGUUUCUCAGGGCUGCUUCAAGCGGGAUUAGGGGCAGUGUGGGAACCUAGAGUGGGAGAGAUUAAGCUGAAGGGAGGUCUUGUGGUAAGGGGUGAUAUUGUGGGGGAUGUUAGAAGAAACAUUUGUCGUAUAGAACGAUUGGUGAUGGCCUGCAUAUGGUUUUAUAUGAAUUGAAAAACUAGAUGGAAUAAGAGAAGGAGAAAAACAGGUAUAAAAGUUCUAAGAAUUGGGAGGACCUAGGACAUCUAAUUAGAGAGUGCCUAAGGAGGUUCAGCAUAGUCCUGCCAGCAAAGAUUAUUUAUUUACUUCAAGAGUUAAGAGUGGCAGUUUGGGGAUAGCACCAGGAGAUAUCAGCUGUGAUGGCUUGGAGAAACAGUGUAAACCGGCAGUGUAAACAAGAGCAGGGCAUGUAUGAGUAGGUGAGAAUGGUGAAUAGGAGUAUGACUAGACAGAAGAUAGUAGGGAUGACAAGUUUUUUGGGGGCACAGUCUAAGUCGGUCUGGUGUCUGGAAUGAGACUGGGGCCUAAUAAAAAGGAGCGUCUAUACAGAAGCUUAAAUGGGCUGUACCUGGUAGCAUUCUGAGGACAGGUCUGACUUCUGAGAAGGGAAAGUGGUAACAGUAUUGUCCAGUCCUUUUUAAGUUGGUGGCUGAGCUUGGUGAGGUGUGUUUUUAAAAGACCUUUAGUCCAUUCUACUUUUCUUGAAGACGGAGGACCGUGAGGGAUAUAAAGGUUUCACUGAAUACUAAGAGCCUGAAAAACUGCUUGGCUGAUUUGACUAAUAAAGGCUGGUCUAUUAUCAGACUGUAUAGAGGUGGGAAGGCUAAACUGAGGAAUUAUGUCUGACAGAAGGGAAGAAAUGACUGCGGUGGCCUUCUCAGACCCUGUAGGAAAGGCCUGUAUUUAUCUAGUGAAAGUGUGUACUUAGACUAAGAGGUAUUUUAAUUAUCUGACUCGGGGCAUGUUGAGUAAAGCUAAUUUGCCAGUCCUGGGUGGGGGCAAAUCUUCAAGCUUGAUGUGUAGGGAAGGGAGGGGGCCUGAAUAAUCCCUGAGGAGUAGUAGAAUAGCAGAUGGAACACUGAGAAGUUAUUUCCUUGAGGAUAGAUUUCCACGAUGGAAAGGAAAUGAGAGGUUCUAAGAGGUGGGCUACUGGCUUGUGCUAUAGCACAGCCUGCCUUUGCUGGUGUGUGGUGAUUAGGCCUGGUGGAACUGCCAUCAAUAAAUCAAGCGUGAUCAGGGUGAGGAACAGGAAAGAAGGAAAUAUGGAGAAAUGGGGUGAAUGUCAGGUGGAUCAGAGAGAUACAGUCAUGGGGGUCAGGCGUGGUAUCAGGAAUAAUGUGGGAGGCCAGACUGAAGUCCGGGCCAGGAACAAUGAUAAUUGUGGGACUUAACAAAGAGUGAGUACAGCUGAAGGAGCUGGGAAGCAGAAAGUAUAUGCGUCAAGUAUGAGGAAGAAAAUAGAUUUUGGAAGUUAUGAGAACUGUAGAGAGUGAGUUGAGCAUAGUUUGUGAUUUUUAGGGCCUCCAAAAGUAUUAAAGCAGUGGCAGCCACUGCACACAGACAUGAGGGCUAGGAUAAAACAGUAAGGUCAAGUUGUUUGGACAGAAAGGCUACAGGGUGCGGUCCUGGCUUUUGUUUAAGAAUUCUGACCGCACUAACUAUGCCUAGGAAGGAAAGGAGUUGUUGUUUUGUAAGGGAAUGAGGUUUGGAAGAUUAAUCGGACAUGAUCAGCAGGGAGAGCACGUGUGUUUUUAUGAGAAUUAUGCCGAGAUAGGUAACAGAUGAGGAUGAAAUUUGGGCUUGAUUGAAGUAAUGGGGGCUGUCUGUGAAGCUUUGUGGCAGUCCAGCCCAGGUAAUUUGCAGAGCCUAAUGGGUGUUAGGGUCAGUCUAAGUGAAAGCGAAGAGAGGCUGGGAUGAAGGGUGCAAAGGAAUAGUAAAGAAAGCAUGUUUGAGAUCCAGAACAGAAUAAUGGGUAGUAGAGGCAGGUAUUGAGGAUAGGAGAGUAUAUGGGUUUGGCACCACGGGGUGGAUAGGCAAAACAAUUUGGUUGAUAAGGCGCAGAUUCUGAACUAACUUGUAAGGCUUGUCUGGUUUUAGGACAGGUAAAAUGGUGGAAUUGUAAGGGGAGUUUACAGGCUUUAAAAGGCCAUGCUGUAGCAGGCAAGUGAUAACAGGCUUUAAUCCUUUUAAAGCGUUCUAUGGGAUGGGAUCUUGACAUUGAGUGGGGUAAGGGUGAUUAGGUUUUAAUGAGAUGGUAAGGGUUACAUGAUCCGUCGCCAAGGAGGGAGUAGAGGUAUCUUAUACUUGUGGGUUCAGGUGGGGGGAUACAAGAGGAGGACGCAAAGGAGGCUUUGAAUUGGGAAGAAGGGCGGCAAUGAGAUGUAGCUGUAGUCCAGGAAUAAUCAGGGAAGCAGAUAAUUUAGUUAAAGUGCCUCAGCCUAAUGAGGGAACUGGGCAGGUGGGGAUAAUUAAAAAGGAGUGCUUAAAAGAGUAUUGUCUAAGUUGGCACCAGAGUUGGGGAGUUUUAAGAGGUUUAGAAGCCUGGCUGUUAAUACCCACAACAAUUAUGGAGGCAAGGGAAACAGGCCCUUAAAAAGAAGGUAAUGUGGAGUGGGUAGCCUCCGUAUUGAUUAAGAAGGGAACGGACUUAGCUUCCACUGUGAGAGUUACCCGAAGCUCGGCGUCCGUGAUGGUUUAGGGGGCUUCCGAGGCAAUCAGGCGGUGUCAAUCUUCAGCCGCUAAGCCCAGAAGAUCUGGGAAGGAGUCAGUCAGAGAGCCUUGGGCCAGAGUUCCAGGGGCUCUGGGAGUGGCUGCCAGGUGAGUUGAACAGUCUGAUUUCCAGUGGGGUCCCGCACAGAUGGGACACAGCUUAGGAGGAAUCCCGGGCUGCGGGCAUUCCUUGGCCCAGUGGCCAGAUUUCCGGCACAUGUAGCAAGCUCCUGGGGGAGGAGGUUCUGGAGGAAUGCCUGGCUGCUGCAGUUCAGGUGUUUGGAAGUUCUUGUGUGCUGGAGAUGUGGCUGGGGUUUGUCUCACAGUGGAGGCAAGGAAUUGCAACUUUUUUCUGUUAUUGUACACCUUGAAGGUGAGGUUAAUUAAGUCCGGUUGUGGGGUUUGAGGGCCAGAUUCCAAUUUAUGGAGUUUUAUUUAAUGUCAGGAGCAGAUUGGGUAAUAAAAUGUAUAUUAAGAAUAAGACGGCCUUUUGACCUUUUAGGGUCUGGGGCUGUAAAGCGUCGCAGGGUUGCUGCCGAAUGAGACAUGAACUGGGCUAGAUUUUUAUAUUUGAUGAAAAAGAGCCUAAACGCUAUCUUAUUUGGGAAAAAGAAAAAGGAGCAUUAACCUUGACUAUGCCUUUAGCUCCAGCCACCUUUUUAAGAAUAAAUUGCUGGGCAGGUGGGGGAGGGCUAGUCACGGAAGGAAACUGUAAGCCGGACAGGGUGUGAGAAGGGGAGGUGAUAAAAGGAUUAUAGGGUGGAGGAGCAGAGGCUGAGGAAGAAUUGGGACCUGGCUUGGCCUGGCGAGGAGGGGAGAGAUCAGAUGGUGCCGGUGAAAAAAGUCAGGCUCUGGAUACAGCAAUGUAAUCUUUAACCUCUAAGGCUCUAAGCUUCAUUGCAAAAUGGGGAUAAUGGUGGCACCGACCUCAAAGUGCUCUGAAGAUUGAAUAGGAGAAACAUAUAAAGGACUCAGCUUUGUGCCAGGCCCAUAGAGAGCCAUCAGCAACCAUUGGCCUUCAUGAUGCUGAGAAUGUUAAAGCAACCUAAAUAUGGCCUGAGAAGGACUCUGUACUUCUGUAUUUGAGUCCUGGUGGAUGAACUGUAACCUAGCUUAAUAGGCAGACAAAAUUGAAAAGCUAACUUAGUGGUAUGCUGUAACAAUAGCUAUGUCUUGGCCAAUCCCAGUGGCCAUACUUCAAUUCAUACACUGCUGAGCAUUCAAACUGUGUUCAAAUAAGGCAUACACCGAGCUGUAAACAACGCAGCCAUUCUGUACUUCACUUCCAAUUUCUGUAUGUCAUUUCCCUUUUUCUUGUCUAUAAAUCUUCUUCCACCAUGUGACUACGCUGGAGCCUCUGUGAAUCUGCUGAUUCUGGGGGCUGCCCAAUUCACAAAUCGUUCAUUGCUCAAAUUAAACUCCUUUAAAUUUAAUUUGGCUGAAAUUCUUCUUUCAUCAAGAAUUAAUGUGGUCCUUGCUCUACCAGUUACUACACAUUCAAAGUUUGUAAAAUACUUUCAGCUUUUGUCAGGUUAAAA